This is a long non-coding RNA of Phyllostomus hastatus (greater spear-nosed bat), 2489 nucleotides long. RefSeq lists it as uncharacterized. The record is from RefSeq and is a predicted model, not a curated record. The transcript has 4 exons. Lineage: Eukaryota; Metazoa; Chordata; Mammalia; Chiroptera; Phyllostomidae.
CAGAAAAAGUUUUUCAUGAAGGAGGCAGGAGCCAAGUAUGUCAAAUGCCACUGAGAGACAGCAAAGGAGGCCAGAGAGUUGAACUUUGGCUUCGGCAAGAUGUGCACUGGUUCUUGAACGGAAGUUGAUUUCAACCGGAGUGUGGGGUUUGCCGGGAAUGGAGAGUACAUCCUAUCACAGCUGGAAGGGGUAAACAUCUUCACUGCACAGAUAGGACACCCAGACCAGGAGGUGCUGGGUGCAGAAUCGAAAAUGCCGGAAGCUGGAGUUCUGAAGCCCAGUCCCAGGGCCUCUGGGCGGUCCCCUGCAGACUGAAGUUCAAGUCCACAACCACAAGGAGCACCUCCUCAUGUUAACCAAGCUGUGCGUAUCUUUACAGAUGUCUGCCAGCAGACCUUCCCAGAUUUACUCCUUCACUCACUCAGGUUAUUCACCGUGAUUCUAUCUUUUCUGAUUCCUUCAUUGCAUUUGGGCUGCUAAACCAAGUGAAAGAAGAAAAUUCUCAGUCAUCAUGAAAUUGCUCAUCCACCAAACCAACCAGCCAGACCUCCUACAUGUGCUAAGUGCCGGUCACGGUCCUGCAUAGGUUUCAGCUAUGGCAUCACUGGUCCUCACCUGCCUGGAGGUGUCCCGGCUGUCCCAUGUCCACUGCGGAUCUAGUCUCUGUGUCACAUAUUUGCCACAUGUGUCACGGGCCUGAGUCCUUCCAGCUUCUUCCUCAUAGCAGGGCUGAUAACACAGGAAUUGCCAUCGAGCAAAGUUCCCAGAAUGAGUCUUUAUUAACUUCUCAAGCUGCCUUUGUUUUCCAUUAAAGAAAUCUUUUUUUAUAUAUAUAUUUGCAAAAGCCAUGCUGCUUAUGGUAAAAACACAAACAAUGACCAAGCGUGCUUCCUUUCCUCCAUUCCACAAUGCCAGCCACCUCGGGCAGUGGGCAAGUGUGGUUCAGCUCAUAUCCUUCUAGAUCCUCUCUACACAUUUGCGAAGGGAAUGCACACAUAACAUGUGUGAUGUAGUGUGUAUUUGUUGUUCUGCAACCUGCCUUCUCUCUAAUAGCAGACGGAGGACGUGGUUCCAGGCUAGCAUCUCAGACCUGCCUCUUCACUCCCAGGGCCGUGCAGCCUCCACAACAUGGACAGACGAGCCCGGGGCAGGUACCCGCCCCUGUCAGUGGGCGCCGACCACCAGCUGGAGUGCUGUGGCGGACACCUCUUUUAGCUCUUUUGUGUUUGAGCAUUUCUGAAGGGUUUCCCGAGAAGUGGAAUUGCUGGGUCACGUGCAUUUAAAAUUUUAAUGAAAACCCCAUGCCAGGCACGGUGCCAGACCCCUAGUAGGACCUUUGUGACCAUCUGCGGCCUCGUACUGCUAGAUGGCACUCCAGGAAGAUCACACUGUGUCCACUCCCACCGGCAGUGAACGGAGCCAUCGGACUGGCCAUACCUGCCACCAGGUCCCAGCAACGCUUGGGAGCGCCUGCCUGCAGGCUGCUUGGCCACUGCGGGAGGAUGUGAAGGCCCCGUGUCAUCCUGGGUGGAAAGAAGGCAGAGUCCGAGCUGCAGAUGGCCUCCUCCGUCUCCUCCAGGCCUGCAAAGCCCAUGGCUUAACCUGCUCCCGCUGGGGCUGGAGCUUACCACGGCGAGGGCCACGUCAGCCCUAGGACCUCUCCCACUGGAGCCAGCCAGGUGUACAGAAAGCACCGCAGACCUUCCUUCUGACCCCCCCCCCCACCCCCGCCCCGAUAAAUCCCUGAAACUUUUCUGACUGGGCCCACUCUCCCACCAUCAGCUCUGUGUUGUCUGUAACCACCGCGCUCCCUCCAGGCCCCGUCUCAGCAGGAACCCUCUGCCAGAGAGAGCCCCUGUUCCUGGUCUUCUGGGGGCUGACUGUGCCAUCCCCCCACCCCUGCCCCUGCCCGGGCCCUGAUCCCCAAGGCUGGGUAUCACUAGGAGACCAGGAGAGGCCUACAGGAGCCAUCCGGGUGGCAUCGGGUCUACCACAUCCUCCCAGGAGCUUGUUUGCGGAGGAAGGCCGGAGCUCCUGGGCUGCAGGGGAGCAGUGAGCGCAAGGCAGGGUUGGUGUGCAAAGGAGGGGCCCAGCCUGAGCCCCCAGACACGGGCUGGGGGUGUCUCUCUCUCUGCAUGCACAAUGCCAGGCUCCCUGAUGCCCUGGGCAGACUCUGCUGCAAUGCUGAAUGCUCCUUUCCUCUUUAGGGUUAACCCAGCAGCCCAAACCACCCGGGACUGGGGGGAAAAAAAAAAAAAGGCAGAUCUGCCCAGUCCGCCCUCCAGGAGAUUCCAGGGUGGGGCUGACCCAGGUCUCCAGGAGCCCCGCCCUACAGAAGGCCAUCCUCCCACUCCCCACCCCCAGGGCAGCAGCAGGAGGGUAGGGCGUGGAAGCACUCGGCGGCCCCUCCCACCCCAUCCCUGCCUCCCUGCCUCGGCUCUUUAGCACCCUAAGACUUCAGGGAACAGGAGGUCAAAGCACCUAUAAAC